RNAcentral lists this long non-coding RNA (222 nucleotides) under Elaeis guineensis (African oil palm). RNAcentral's name for it is "long non-coding RNA (EGUI_LNC000817)". Lineage: Eukaryota; Viridiplantae; Streptophyta; Magnoliopsida; Arecales; Arecaceae. The record is from RNAcentral.
GCUCGCACGUCUUGGCCUUGUGAUGCCAUUAUUAUUAUGAUGUGGGAGAGAGAUGGAGCUAGAGAGGGUGUGGAGAAAAAUAGAUAAAAAAUGAUCAACUGAAAAAGCCUUCUGCUGGAAGUGGUUGGUGUGACUAUUUGACUCGCAGCAUUCCAUGUGAUGUUGCAUUCCUUUUUCUUGGCGUAAUCCCAUGCAAGGAAGCCCUUUCAUCAUUCCAUGAGC